UGUUGGGAGCACCACCCACAGCAGGCAGUGAAGGCAGUCCCGGAGCAGGGUACGACCUGCAUCAUCUGCAUGGACCCCGUAGGUGACAGCAGAUCAUACAGCACCAUGGUGUGCCCAUCUUGCCAACACGCCUGGUUCCACCGCGCGUGCGUCCAGGUAGGAGCACUCCCCUUGCCCCGUGGGAAUGGUCAGCGCUCAGCAGCACCAGGCCUGGCUCACACGCACGUUGCUUGUGUUUCUGCUGCAGAAACAGGCCCUGUGCGCAGGGAUUUACUGCUUCCAGUGACCCCUCUGCAGAGACAGGGGCUGUUUUACAACAGACAUGCUCACUGCGGGGAUCCGAAUCCCAUUCAGAAGACCAACAUGGGAGGACAACGAUGCCUACGCAUCCCUGAGAGUUAGGCACCAGCACUGCGAUGCCAGAGACUGCCUUAGUCCACACGGCAGGGAUUGGGCAGAGAGAGAAGGGCCCUGGGAGCUGCUCCUCUGCAACUCCUGUGCUGCACAAGGGACUCAUCGGCGCUGUUUCUACCUGAGUCACAGGACAACCAGGUGGGAUUGCAACACCUGUGCUGGAGAGGGCACCGGUAAGAGGCAAAAGUCCCUCUGGCCCAGGAGGGAUAGGUGCCUACCCCAGUGGUAUAGAUCAACCUC
This is a non-coding RNA of Phasianus colchicus (ring-necked pheasant), 654 nucleotides long. The record is from RefSeq and is a predicted model, not a curated record. NCBI's taxonomy places the organism in Eukaryota, Metazoa, Chordata, Aves, Galliformes, Phasianidae.